Molecule: ribosomal RNA, 380 nt
Filed under: uncultured eukaryote
Lineage: Eukaryota
Description: partial 18S ribosomal RNA
Rfam family: Eukaryotic small subunit ribosomal RNA
Source: RNAcentral
CAAUAGCGUAUAUUAAAGUUGUUGCGGUUAAAAAGCUCGUAGUUGGAUUUCUGCCGAGGACGACCGGUCCGCCCUGUGGGUGCGCAUCUGGCUCGGCCUGGGCAUCUUCUUGGAGAACGUAUCUGCACUUGACUGUGUGGUGCGGUAUCCAGGACUUUUACUUUGAGGAAAUUAGAGUGUUUCAAGCAGGCACACGCCUUGAAUACAUUAGCAUGGAAUAAUAAGAUAGGACUUCAGUUCUAUUUUGUUGGUUUCUAGAGCUGAGGUAAUGAUUAAUAGGGAUAGUUGGGGGCAUUCGUAUUUAACUGUCAGAGGUGAAAUUCUUGGAUUUAUGAAAGACGAACUUCUGCGAAAGCAUUUGCCAAGGAUGUUUUCAUUAA